Molecule: ribosomal RNA, 465 nt
Filed under: uncultured bacterium
Lineage: Bacteria
Description: partial 16S ribosomal RNA
Rfam family: Bacterial small subunit ribosomal RNA
Source: RNAcentral
CCUACGGGUGGCAGCAGUAGGGAAUCUUCCACAAUGGGCGAAAGCCUGAUGGAGCAACGCCGCGUGGGUGAAGAAGGUCUUCGGAUCGUAAAACCCUGUUGUUAGAGAAGAAAGUGCGUGAGAGUAACUGUUCACGUUUCGACGGUAUCUAACCAGAAAGCCACGGCUAACUACGUGCAAGCAGCCGCGGUAAUACGUAGGUGGCAAGCGUUAUCCGGAUUUAUUGGGCGUAAAGGGAACGAAGGCGGUCUUGUAAGUCUGAUGUGAAAGGCUUCGGCUUAACCGGAGUAGUGCAUUGGAAACUGGGAGACUUGAGUGCAGAAGAGGAGAGUGGAACUCCAUGUGUAGCGGUGAAAUGCGUAGAUAUAUGGAAGAACACCAGUGGCGAAAGCGGCUUGCUGGUCUGUAACUGACGCUGAGGUUCGAAAGCGUGGGUAGCGAACAGGAUUAGAUACCCCUGUAGUC